Molecule: long non-coding RNA, 838 nt
Filed under: Homo sapiens (human)
Lineage: Eukaryota; Metazoa; Chordata; Mammalia; Primates; Hominidae
Description: HSALNT0060286
Source: RNAcentral
GCGAGACUCUGUCUCAAAAAAAAAAAAAAAAAAAGGGUGGUGACACCACGGGGUUGUGUGGCUACACACAGAAGCCUGGGGCAACAGCAAGACGGCAGCAGCCAUGGCGAGGCAGAAGAGUCAACGCCAGCCCAGGAAGCAUCAGGAAGUCCACAUCAGGGGAGUGAGAUGGACAGAGAUCAAGGAAGGUGGAACAUUCUAGAGGCCUGAGACCCAGUUGGCUGCCCUCACACUGGACAGACAAGGAAGUUGCCCUGUAACCCUCACCAGAAGCCUGGAGAUAAUUUUAGAGGCCUGCCUGGAGUUUGAAGAACGCUCCUGAAAGAGAGGGACUCAGCUGGUGCAACCCUUCCCCUUUCCUCUUUCUCCUUGCUUUGAACAUGGAUCUAAUGGCAGGAGCUAAGGCAGCCAUCUUGUGACCAUGAGGAAAGAGACUGACAGCAGUUUCAGCCGGGCAUGCCUCAGCCAUUGAACAGCACCUUAGAUUUCUCACGUGAGAAAAAUAAAUUCCUGUUUGUUUAAAUCACUGAAGUAGUUUUUUGGUUAUUUUUUUGACUGAAAACAACCUUAACUGUACCUUAGUCUAUAGUCAACCUGGCCACCAUGAUGACCCUCCUAACACAUAGAUAUAGGCAUGAUGCGCUCCCUCUUCUGCUCAAAAUCCUUCCUUUGGAAGAUGUCUUUGUCCUCUAUCAGACUGCAAGGAUACUCCCUGCUUGUAGAAGGUAUAGAGAAGCAAUUCCUAGCAUUCACAGCUAGGUACAACACUUUGGGGAAAUAAUUGGCAAUAGCUUUGCAACUUAAGGAUGCUCAUAACCUUCUUGCCACUAACCCCAUG